GACGUAGGGCGCGAGCGUUGUCCGGAUUUAUUGGGCGUAAAGAGCUCGUAGGCGGCUUGUCGCGUCGAAUGUGAAAUCUCAGGGCUCAACUCUGACAUUGCAUUCGAUACGGGCAGGCUAGAGUUCGGUAGGGGAGACUGGAAUUCCUGGUGUAGCGGUGAAAUGCGCAGAUAUCAGGAGGAACGCCGAUGGCGAAGGCAGGUCUCUGGGCCGAUACUGACGCUGAGGAGCGAAAGCGUGGGGAGCGAACAGG
Molecule: ribosomal RNA, 253 nt
Filed under: uncultured bacterium
Lineage: Bacteria
Description: partial 16S ribosomal RNA
Rfam family: Bacterial small subunit ribosomal RNA
Source: RNAcentral